CCUUAGUGGCGGACGGGUGAGUAACGCGUGGGAACCUACCUAGCAGUAUGGAAUAACUGUGGGAAACUGCAGCUAAUACCGUAUACGCCCUACGGGGGAAAGAUUUAUCGCUGUUAGAUGGGCCCGCGCCUGAUUAGCUUGUUGGUGAGGUAAAAGCUCACCAAGGCUACGAUCAGUAGCUGGUCUGAGAGGAUGAUCAGCCACACUGGGACUGAGACACGGCCCAG
This 227-nucleotide ribosomal RNA is filed under the name uncultured bacterium. RNAcentral's name for it is "partial 16S ribosomal RNA". It matches the Rfam family "Bacterial small subunit ribosomal RNA", at positions 90 to 334 of the family's 1533-position model. The record is from RNAcentral.